AAAGUUGGGUCAGGUGUUGCACCUCAAAAGUUUGUUUAAAAAUGUGUGUCAACAUAGUUAGUUAGUUCCUCAAAGAUAAAUAUGUGGAAAUGCAUCUUGUGAGACUCGUUUGGGAUGUUUUUAAUUAUGUUUUGCUUUUCACCUGGACCCCAAAACGUCGAGUUGAACACCUGAACCAGCUAGCCACCUUUACGGCCUGCUUUCACGGUAUAGGCCUACUUUGUUAAGUGGAGCAGCAGCUGAAACAGAUUUAAGUUCAACAAAUCACGCCUAGGUGGGGCACUGUCUGCCCAAAUGAAGCCCAAUUUAGUGGCUAGGAGGAGCCCCAGCUCUUCCUCUCCUCCAUCCUCUGUGAGGGCUCCAAGCCCCUCUCCUCCUACGGCCUCUGUGAGGACCCCCAGCUCUUCCUCUCCUCCAUCCUCUGUGAGGGCUCCAAGCCCCUCUCCUCCUACGGCCUCUGUGAGGACCCCCAG
This is a long non-coding RNA of Labrus mixtus (cuckoo wrasse), 473 nucleotides long. RefSeq lists it as uncharacterized. The transcript is spliced from 3 exons. NCBI's taxonomy places the organism in Eukaryota, Metazoa, Chordata, Actinopteri, Labriformes, Labridae. The record is from RefSeq and is a predicted model, not a curated record.